RNAcentral lists this ribosomal RNA (500 nucleotides) under uncultured bacterium. Its description in RNAcentral is "partial 16S ribosomal RNA". It matches the Rfam family "Bacterial small subunit ribosomal RNA", at positions 30 to 523 of the family's 1533-position model. The record is from RNAcentral.
AUUGAACGCUGGCGGCAUGCCUUACACAUGCAAGUCGAACGGCAGCACGGGAGCAAUCCUGGUGGCGAGUGGCGAACGGGUGAGUAAAGUAUCGGAACGUGCCCAGUCGUGGGGGAUAACGUAGCGAAAGUUACGCUAAUACCGCAUACGAUCUAUGGAUGAAAGCGGGGGAUCGCAAGACCUCGCGCGAUUGGAGCGGCCGAUAUCAGAUUAGGUAGUUGGUGGGGUAAAGGCUCACCAAGCCGACGAUCUGUAGCUGGUCUGAGAGGACGACCAGCCACACUGGGACUGAGACACGGCCCAGACUCCUUCGGGAGGCAGCAGUGGGGAAUUUUGGACAAUGGGCGAAAGCCUGAUCCAGCCAUGCCACGUGCAGGAUGAAGGCCUGCGGGUUGUAAACUGCUUUUGUACGGAACGAAAAGGUUUGGCCUAAUAAGCUGAGCUCAUGACGGUACCGUAAGAAUAAGCACCGGCUAACUACGUGCCAGCCGCCGCGGUAA